GCCUCCUCAAUUAACAGGUCUCUGACUGUCCUGCAUUGGCCUCUGUUGUUUUGGGCCUUUUUGAUGUUAUCCAUGUCAACUUUAUGAUACUACAACAAUUCACAAUUCAAAAUUACUUUCAUGGAGUUAAAAAGUUCUUUGAGCAUUUUCAAUAAGUUGCAAUUUUAUUUGGCUCCAAUAAUGCAUAUGCAAAUGAUGAUAAACUUAAACAAGAAUGUGUCCAUAGUACACGGAUGCCCCACUCGCACUAUCAUUUUACAUGUUCACUGGACCGUGAAAUUGGGGUCAAUACUUUAAUUUGGCAUUAAAAUUAGAAAGAUCAUAUCAUAGUUAACAUGUGUACUAAGUUUCAAGUUGAUUGGACUUCAACUUCAUCAAAAACUACCUUGACCAAAAACUUUAACCUGAGCUUCACACUAUCUUCUUUGUUCAGUGGACCAUGAAAUUUGGGUCAAUACUUUAAUUUGACAUUAAAAUUAGUAAGAUCAUAUCAUAAGGAACAUGUAUACUAAGUUUCAAGUUGAUUGGACUUCAACUUCAUCAAAAACUACCUCGACCAAAAACUUUAACCUGAAGCGGGACGAACGAACGAACGGAGGCACAGACCAGAAAACAUAAUGCCCCUCUACUAUCGUA
RNAcentral lists this long non-coding RNA (636 nucleotides) under Mytilus galloprovincialis (Mediterranean mussel). The record is from RNAcentral. Lineage: Eukaryota; Metazoa; Mollusca; Bivalvia; Mytilida; Mytilidae.